UUUACACAUGCAAGUCGAACGGCAGCACGGACUUCGGUCUGGUGGCGAGUGGCGAACGGGUGAGUAAUAUAUCGGAACGUAUCCAAUAAUGGGGGAUAACUAAUCGAAAGGUUGGCUAAUACCGCAUACGCCCUACGGGGGAAAGCUAGGGAUCUUCGGACCUGGCGUUAAUGGAGCGGCUGAUAUCUGAUUAGCUAGUAGGUGAGGUAAAGGCUCACCUAGGCGACGAUCAGUAGCUGGUCUGAGAGGACGACCAGCCACACUGGAACUGAGACACGGUCCAGACUCCUACGGGAGGCAGCAGUGGGGAAUUUUGGACAAUGGGCGAAAGCCUGAUCCAGCCAUUCCGCGUGAGUGAAGAAGGCCUUCGGGUUGUAAAGCUCUUUCGCAAGGGAAGAAAACUUAGGCGCUAAUAUCGCCUGAGGUUGACGGUACCUUGAUAAGAAGCACCGGCUAACUACGUGCCAGCAGCCGCGGUAAUACGUAGGGUGCGAGCGUUAAUCGGAAUUACUAGGCGUAAAGCGUGCGCAGGCGGUUUUGUAAGUCAGAUGUGAAAUCCCCGAGCUCAACUUGGGAACUGCGUUUGAAACUAUAAGACUAGAAUAUGUCAGAGGGGGGUAGAAUUCCACGUGUAGCAGUGAAAUGCGUAGAGAUGUGGAGGAAUACCAAUGGCGAAGGCAGCCCCCUGGGAUAAUAUUGACGCUCAUGCACGAAAGCGUGGGGAGCAAACAGGAUUAGAUACCCUGGUAGUCCACGCCCUAAACGAUGUCUACUAGU
RNAcentral lists this ribosomal RNA (777 nucleotides) under uncultured bacterium. RNAcentral describes it as "bacterial SSU rRNA". It matches the Rfam family "Bacterial small subunit ribosomal RNA", at positions 48 to 820 of the family's 1533-position model. The record is from RNAcentral.